AGAGUUUGAUCAUGGCUCAGAAUCAACGCUGGCGGCGCGCUUAACACAUGCAAGUCGAACGAGAAAGUCCGCAAGGAUGAGUACAGUGGCGUACGGGUGAGUAACACGUGGAUAAUCUGCCCUUUAGUGGGGAAUACCGUUGGGAAACCGACGACAAUACCGCAUAAUCCCGGGAGGGGAAAGCAGCAAUGCGCUGAAGG
Molecule: ribosomal RNA, 200 nt
Filed under: uncultured bacterium
Lineage: Bacteria
Description: partial 16S ribosomal RNA
Rfam family: Bacterial small subunit ribosomal RNA
Source: RNAcentral